UUUAAUAAACCUUGAGAGGUGUUUACGUUUCGGCCGUAAAAUUGAAAGUGUAGCCUUUCUAUUAAAA
RNAcentral lists this transfer RNA (67 nucleotides) under Diplodiscus japonicus. RNAcentral describes it as "tRNA-Arg". Lineage: Eukaryota; Metazoa; Platyhelminthes; Trematoda; Plagiorchiida; Diplodiscidae. The record is from RNAcentral.